CCUACGGGAGGCAGCAGUGAGGAAUAUUGGUCAAUGGCCGGAAGGCUGAACCAGCCAUGCCGCGUGAAGGUCAGUGCCCUAUGGGCGUUAAACUUCUUUUGUGCGGGAGCAAUAAUGGUCACGUGUGGCCAGACGAGAGUACCGUACGAAUAAGCAUCGGCUAACUCCGUGCCAGCAGCCGCGGUAAUACGGGGGAUGCAAGCGUUAUCCGGAUUUAUUGGGUUUAAAGGGUGCGUAGGCUGUGAGGUAAGUCAGCGGUGAAAUGCCCCCGCUCAACGGGGUGAAGUGCCAUUGAUACUGCCUGGCUGGAAUGCGGAUGCCGUGGGAGGAAUGAGUGGUGUAGCGGUGAAAUGCAUAGAUAUCACACAGAACACCGAUUGCGAAGGCAUCUCACGAAUCCGCGAUUGACGCUGAUGCACGAAAGCGUGGGUAUCAAACAGGAUUAGAUACCCUAGUAGUC
RNAcentral lists this ribosomal RNA (460 nucleotides) under uncultured bacterium. RNAcentral describes it as "partial 16S ribosomal RNA". It matches the Rfam family "Bacterial small subunit ribosomal RNA", at positions 338 to 795 of the family's 1533-position model. The record is from RNAcentral.